This 1196-nucleotide ribosomal RNA is filed under the name Salmonella enterica subsp. enterica. Its description in RNAcentral is "partial 23S ribosomal RNA". It matches the Rfam family "Bacterial large subunit ribosomal RNA", at positions 403 to 1503 of the family's 2925-position model. Lineage: Bacteria; Pseudomonadati; Pseudomonadota; Gammaproteobacteria; Enterobacterales; Enterobacteriaceae. The record is from RNAcentral.
GCUCGAUGAGUAGGGCGGGACACGUGGUAUCCUGUCUGAAUAUGGGGGGACCAUCCUCCAAGGCUAAAUACUCCUGACUGACCGAUAGUGAACCAGUACCGUGAGGGAAAGGCGAAAAGAACCCCGGCGAGGGGAGUGAAAAAGAACCUGAAACCGUGUACGUACAAGCAGUGGGAGCCCCACCACUAAGCCAGUGGUGAACUCCACAUACGCAUCCUUUGCUGAGGAUACGGUUAACGGAGCGAAAGCGACGUUCAACCUCAAAAGAAGCAGAGGGGGCUUAGUGGUGGGGUGACUGCGUACCUUUUGUAUAAUGGGUCAGCGACUUAUAUUCUGUAGCAAGGUUAACCGUAUAGGGGAGCCGCAGGGAAACCGAGUCUUAACCGGGCGUUAAGUUGCAGGGUAUAGACCCGAAACCCGGUGAUCUAGCCAUGGGCAGGUUGAAGGUUGGGUAACACUAACUGGAGGACCGAACCGACUAAUGUUGAAAAAUUAGCGGAUGACCUGUGGCUGGGGGUGAAAGGCCAAUCAAACCGGGAGAUAGCUGGUUCUCCCCGAAAGCUAUUUAGGUAGCGCCUCGUGAACUCAUCUCCGGGGGUAGAGCACUGUUUCGGCUAGGGGGCCAUCCCGGCUUACCAACCCGAUGCAAACUGCGAAUACCGGAGAAUGUUAUCACGGGAGACACACGGCGGGUGCUAACGUCCGUCGUGAAGAGGGAAACAACCCAGACCGCCAGCUAAGGUCCCAAAGUCAUGGUUAAGUGGGAAACGAUGUGGGAAGGCCCAGACAGCCAGGAUGUUGGCUUAGAAGCAGCCAUCAUUUAAAGAAAGCGUAAUAGCUCACUGGUCGAGUCGGCCUGCGCGGAAGAUGUAACGGGGCUAAACCAUGCACCGAAGCUGCGGCAGCGACACUAUGUGUUGUUGGGUAGGGGAGCGUUCUGUAAGCCUGUGAAGGUGGCCUGUGAGGGUUGCUGGAGGUAUCAGAAGUGCGAAUGCUGACAUAAGUAACGAUAAAGCGGGUGAAAAGCCCGCUCGCCGGAAGACCAAGGGUUCCUGUCCAACGUUAAUCGGGGCAGGGUGAGUCGACCCCUAAGGCGAGGCCGAAAGGCGUAGUCGAUGGGAAACGGGUUAAUAUUCCCGUACUUGGUGUUACUGCGAAGGGGGGACGGAGAAGGCUAUGUUGGCCGGGCGACGGUU